This is a long non-coding RNA of Parus major (Great Tit), 8320 nucleotides long. RefSeq lists it as uncharacterized. The transcript is spliced from 3 exons. The record is from RefSeq and is a predicted model, not a curated record. Lineage: Eukaryota; Metazoa; Chordata; Aves; Passeriformes; Paridae.
AGAUCUUGAUGCAGACGCCCUUUUGGAUUUCUUUUUAAUAGUGUGUGACCCUUCACCUUUGAUCCCUUGACCUGCAUUACUUUGGACUACAGAUUAAAAUUGUAGCGAGCUGUUCACGUAGUGCCACUGGGCUCAGCUGGUGCCUGGCCUCUGAAGGAGCCUGGAGCUCACCUGAACACCCUCCUGGACUGCAUUUGGCUCUGCUCCUGUCUGGGAGUCCUGCUGACCUGAGCCUGAGCUGUCUCCUUCCCCUCUGAGGAGUCCUCUGUGAGUUUUGAGGGUUCAGCCCUAGCAGGUUCUACCUGAACAGAGGGGAUGCACCAUCAACAUCAGAACCUGGUUCAGGAAACAGCUGGUUUGAAUUGGCAUCCCUGCCUGAGAAGGGUAUUUCCAGCACUGAUCUCCGUACUUAACUGCAAGAUCGUUGUUUUUAAACUGCCCUUGUAUGGCAGAAUUGCCUGCUAAAAUAGUGGCAGAUGCAGUAUCCACAGAAUUCCCUGCCCAGCACCUCUCUGUUACUGUAUGAGUUUCUCUGACCCCGUGGCUAUGAGCUGUGCUGGACUGUCACAGUCUCCAUCAGUGCUUGAAGCAUUCAGAUGGAUUUUCCCUUCCCCUCCUGUUCCAAAUUUCAGCUGUAAUUGUUUUUGUAGACCUGGAGUUGUCAGUUCUGGUACACAGACUGCUGCUUCUCACCAAGCCUGUCUGGGAUGGCUGGGAUGUGGCUUUGGCUUGGGUUUAAUGCUACCUGUCAGCCUGAGAAGAAGAAUCUUCCAGAAACCAUCUUAAGCCAUUUCUCCAGUCUCCAGAACAGGAUUUUUAAAACUCAUUGGGAAAAAAAUACUUACUUACUUUGCCCAAGCAAACUCUUUGAAGACUCUUUUUCUCCUCAUAACACAUAUUUUAUGUUGGCAGCAGUUAGAUGUGAAUGCCUUGACUUUCCAGUGCAGCAAUUCUUAAAAACCUUUAUUUAAACGUCUGGAAACUGAAGGAAAUCUCCUUCCCUGUGCAGAGAGCUGGCUGUUGGCUGCCUCCUGCUAGAACAAAUAGCAGGGAAAAAGAAGAAAUGGAAUAAAAAUGUCUGAUGUUGGUAAUUGGAGUCAAUAAUAAAAAAAAUAGAGCUUAAAAAAUAGUUAGAAUGUCUUGGGUUUUUUUGUUUGUUUUUUUUGUCUCAUUUCAUGUUUUGUCAUGUCCAUCUUGCCUUCUUUCAUAAGGUAAGCACUCUGACCCAUGGCAUUUUCCGGGUGUAGCUCCCAAGGUGGUGGGAUGACAGUGAUGCAUGCUUUGUUGUGAUAUUUCCAUGUAUUGUGUUAGAUGCAGAAUGGUUAUUCGCAGAAAUCACUGUAAAUAAUAUGGGUCAUGGCUGUUCAGCUAUUGCAUGGGGCUUCCAGGAUGCUAGAGCUACUGAGGGAGGAGGAGGUAUACAGCCUUUGGGAAGGGAGGAGAUAGGAAUUGUCCCCCAUUUCCUCUAUAAAACACAGUAAAUAUUGGCAAGAAAAGCUGCUUUGUUGACCCAGCAGUAGCACUGCUAUUUGCCCCAGUGUAAAAUCUGUCCCCAGGUUUUUGCUGCAGUGCUGCUGGAUACAGCAGGAACAGCAACAGCUGACCCUUAGAUGGCAAGAGAAGAUGGAACUCAAUUCACUUUACUGAGCUUGUUUUUCACUGAGCAGUAACUCAAAUACAUGUUUUCAUCAAACACUUAAUCAAAGAACUACACAAAUGCUGCAAAAUGUUUGCAAAGCAAAACAUUUGUCUAUUUAGAUAUUGAGAGAAUACUCUAUUGAGAGAUUUGUUCCUGCUUAUGAGAUUUUUCUGUUACUCAAAGCCAGAAUGUUGACAACAUCCACUCCUGAAACAAGUCUUAAUUUUGAAAUCUAUGCAGUAUCUUCUGCUGCUGGAGGCUCUUACGUAUUAACCUUAAGAGAAGGCUGAAGGGCUGAAAUGAAAUCCUUGGCACACGUACAAGAUUCAGAGUGUUGCAUGUCUUGCAGUUCAGGUUUGGCUUGUCUGCUUUUCAGCUCUUCUAGACAUUGGAAAUUCCAGUUUGUGUUUAUUUUCUCUGGAUUCCUUCCCACAAGACAGAAGUGAAUUCAGCAUGGAUUAUUGGGGAGAGCCUUGGCUGGGAAUAAGGAUAAUUGCAGCCUCUGGCUGUGCCACAGUUUCACUGAUGAUUUCUUUUAAGUUACUCACCUGCACUGUAUCUGUUUCCUCAGCUGUAAAAUGUGGGUAAUUACCUCCAUUGUAAAAUGUUACAGGGUCUGCUGGUAAUUAUAUGAACGAAGUGCUAAUUACAGUGAUUAUCCCUUGGACCUAGUCUAGAUCUGGCUGAUGUUCCUGUUGUGAUGAACGGAUGAAACAAAUACUACAACUUGCUUUUCUCCAUUCUUUGUGAGGGGCCUGGAAGGUGCCACAUCACGCAAUGUGCUCCCAGUGAGAAGCUCUGCUGCCCUGUCACUCAGGUCCCUCUGUUCAUUUCUCAUUCCCCUCUGCCCUUGUGUGUGACAGGGCUGAGGAAGGGGCUGAGGAAUUACUGAUUCAGUAGUUGGAUCCACAUAUGAUCUGGUAGCCAGGGUUUAUGCUGUGGCUUGGCUUUUCCUCUUGUGGAUAUGUGGAAGGCAGCAGCCAGGGAACUGUCCUCCCGAGGUACCAACUGGGUUGGGGCCAGUCUGUGGCCUAGUGGCCUCUGUUCCUUAAAAAGUUUUGACCUUGAUGCCAGGAGAGGUGUCCUUCCAGCUGUGGAGAUUAUUUCCCUCCUGUAAAAGUUUACAGCUUGCAAGACUUUAUUAUCAAACAUUUUAUUUGCCUUUCUCUUCUCCGUUUAUUUAGGACACAUUUUCUUUGUAGCUGGGAAUAGCUCUACUAUCCCCUGAGCAGGGCUGGGUAGUGGAGGAAGAAUUUAUAUUCUUCAAGGUAGAAAUGGAGUGUUCUCAUCCAGAAAAUCCUGCUGCUGGGAAGGCACUGUAGUUUUUGAUGAUAGUAAUAAGUCACGUCAUAUAUCCAGUAAUGAUGAGAGUCUCCUCACCUACCCAAUCCCUGCCUUCCUUGGACACAGACCUCAUGGCACAGUAACAACAAAAAUCCUGUGCAUCUUGCUGCAGCUCUGCCUGCUCAGUUCUGCCACAUCUGAUUCCGUGCCUUCCUGGAUUCUGCUGGAUGGAUUUUCUGCCUUUGCCUCCAGCCUCUAUACACCUGCUUCCCAUCAGCCUCAGCCUUUUUUUGCCCUGGAAGAGCAAGGCUCAGUAGUUAUGUCUUGAAAAUUUAGUAGCUGAGCAGCUCUUCCUUUCUCAGAGUUUGACGAGUGCGAUGCAUUUUUAACUUUCUAGAGAAGGUUUUAGUUCCUGUCCAGGAUGAUGGUUUGGAAAGGCUUUCUGGCAAUGGAAAGGCAGUCUUUAAUUGCGGUUUUGCACCUGAAUUUUCCAGACUAGAUGGUCUUCUCUGACAGAUUCUGUGUGAUUGAUUCUACAGCCUCUUCUUUUCCAUGACAGGAUACUUGAGUGCUCCAGGGAUGGGAGCAACUUUCCACUCCUGAUAGGUGAAAGUGGUCAUUGCCAGGCAAUGAGGGCAUGGAAAGAACUUCUCUUGUUAGGUGGAGGAAAAGAUAAAUGAGGGAUUAUCAUCUCUCCCACAAUUUGCUCUUUCCUUGCUUUAGAGCAUCUAAACUAGAGGGGUGUGUCUGUAGUGUGUCUGGCUUCACCAAAUGCUCAUCUGCCAGGCUUCUUCGAAAAUCCUUUGUUCGGGAAGCAAAAAAUUUAGUUUGUUCCUGCAGAAGCAUCAUGUAUUAAGAUGAAUUCAUUUGGUGUGAGAGGCUUCAAAAGUGAAUGAUGCCAUAUCCAUGUUCUUAUUGCCCGUUGCACAUGUGAACUGAUUUGUGUGCUCUCUGCAAGUCACAUGCUGAAGGAUGUUAAAUUACUGUGUAACCUGCAGGGUAAUCGGUGAUUCAGAUUUGAGAUUUAGCCAAGUCUAAUUUUGCAGCAUUCUUGCAAUAUCUGGGAUUUCUGUAUCUUAGAACCACUCUGAAUGCUGUACAUUAAAAGUGUAGCUAACACACCAUUUUUAAAAAAUGUUUAGUAACAUAAUAAUUAUUACUUUUCAGUCUUCUUUCUCUUAAAAAUCAGUGCACUGUUUGAUUUUCAUUGAGGUGCAAAGUGUUGUGUAAAAUCACUGCAACUUGUGACAAAAAAUGCUUUCAAGUGUCUGAAUGAAAAUGCAGCAUCACCAUGAAAACAAAAGUGUUGAUGCAAAAGUGGUUCCAAACGAGGUGCUGCUAAGUGAAGGUUUCCCUGCUUUUGAGAGCGGGUUUUUAAGCAGUGAUAUACCCUUUGGGGGGCAAUUGCACACCCCAGGGAAGGAGCUGAGGAGCACUUUGUGUAUGUCAGAGGUUGCUGCAAAGAGAUCUACUCAUUUUUACUUCUUUCUGUAAUUACCUGUCGCUGCUUGGCUUUGUGAGUCAAUAGGUUUCAGACAAACGCCGAGCGGAGCAGUGCCGGGAGUGCCGCAGCCCCCGCGCUCGCCCGUCCCGUGCGGGCUGUACCGGGCCCGCGGUGCUUUCGGCAUCGCCUCCUCCCCGGCCUGCUCGGUACCGGGCCCGCGGUGCGUGCCGGCGGCACGGCCUGUUCCCCCGGAGCCGCCGGCCGAGCCUGCCGGUGCUGCCUGUCCCAGCGCCUCGCCGGAGAAGGAGGAAGAGGAGGGUUUCCACCGCGCCCCGUUUCCAGCUGCCCCCGUGUCUGUACGGACGCGGAAUCCCCACAGGAGGGUGCUGCGAAGGCACUGAAUGUGCAGGUUUGCAGGGAAGAUGAGGGCUUGGAGAAGACGGCGAUUGUAGGGCAGCCAACGCCGUGGCUCCGGCAGGGGCAGCGCCUCAGGCGGCCCCGGGGAGGGGCGCGGGGGGAGGCGGGCGCUGAAGCUCGCAGCUCCCCGCUGCCGUGCCGGUGGGCUCCCGUGUCCGGCUGUCGGAGUGUGAACGACGGCAGCGGGAGCACUGACACUCGGGUGCUGCAGGGCCUUGAGGGCUUGGUAGCUGCAAAGCGUCCCAGGGCCGUUCCCCUGCGUCCUGCUUGUGACUGGUGCUGGGACCCUUCGCUGUGAGCAUCAUCCGUGGCCAAUGGCUCGUGUGGCUUCUCUCCAGCGAGCCUUGGGGGCACCCAGCUACUCUCCUGUCUGCGUGUAGUAUGUUUAGUCUGCACAAGUGGCAAAAUGCAUUUUCUUGCAAGUAGAGACAACCUCCGAGUGCUGUCCUAAAAUACUUUGUAAACUGGACCAUUUUAUUCAGCAUGAUCAGAUGAGAAAUAAUGGCAAAACCUCCCUUUGGUUCCUGGCUGUGCAACCCUCUUCCAAAUAUUUUAGUUAAAGGGAUUAUUCCUUUUGCAUAAUACGUGCUCAUGCCAAAAAAAACUUGUCUGGCAAGGUCAGUUAAGCAGCACUUUCAUGUGAUUCUUCCUUUAGCUGGGUGCUGCUUCACCCUGAAAUGGUGUGAUCAUUUAAAAGUAAACAACCCUCCACCCCAGGGGCUGCACACAUCUGCUCUGGCCCGCACUUCUUUCUGCUGCUUUUCACUUUUUAAAUAAACUUUUGAAGCUGAGGAUUGUAUAACUGAAGUAGAGACUUCUCUUUGGGAUGAUCUCUAGGACAUGUGGGGGAUUCAGUCUAAUUCUGUUUAUAUGGGAGUGUGGGAGCUCUGAUCCCUUUUAAUGGCAGCAGGAUCAACUCAUGGAGCUGUGUUAGAGAGGGGGUGUAAAAUCAGCUACUCAUUCAUUGCAUCAGAGCACCUCAGUUGGAAACCUGGGACUGAGAUCCAUCCGUGUGUGAGUCCCUGUGGGGUUCUGUGCUGGCCACGGGGUAUCACGGCAUGUGCCAGUUCAGGCUUUGGGUCCCAGGUGUUUGGAUGGAGGACUGUGUCCAGCAGUGACGGUGCUUUGUGUUGCUCCGUGGGUUUGACACUCAUCUGAAAUUGCAUCACCAAAAACCCUUUUGGUGGGAUGGGUGAUCCCCAAGUUUGGCUCAUACACACUGUGAAAGGGGUGCUUGGCAGCAGUGGGGGCUUUGCCUCAGCACCUGCAUGGCAGGACAGAGCUGGUGUCGUGUCCGAAUGCUGCUAGAUCAGCUGCAGGCGAAUACAAAUAGACUUGGAUUUUGGCCCUGUAAAGGGAGACUUUCAGCUUCCCCCGGGAAUUCUGCCUUGGCAGAAACCAGCUGUAGUUCAGUGGUUUCUGUUACCAGGCAGAGUCUGUUUGGAUGUUAGAAAAUUAGAGCAGAAAUUCCUGCAGCAGUCAGCUGUGUCUGCGUCACCUCUGUGACCUCUAACUGCUACUCCUGCAAACAGUUGCCAUUAAACACAGUCAAUAACCCCCUUCUGCAUUCUAUUGGAUCAUCUCUUCCUGCCAUCUCAAAUGAAAAAUAAACAAAAGAGCUUAAGCGUGCAACGUGCUAAAUAGACUAAUCAGCUGUGAAAAUAUUUUAUGGGGGAAUCUGGGGCAAGAGCUGUCAGUGGGAGUGAGCUGAUUGGAGCUGCAGCAAAACAGCUCCAGGAGGCGGCCAUGGGGACAGAAGGGAAAGAUUUGCUCAAAUGUAUGUGUGCUAUUUUUUUUACCCCUUUCUGAGUAGUUUUAGGAAAUCCCUCCCUCUGUAAAUUGAUUACCUCUGCACAUCAGAAGGCCUUGGCUCUAAGUACGCACUAAGCUGCUCCUGUGCUGAUUUGACUUUGCCUGUUAAAUGUAAAACAGGUUUUAAUCUUCUCAUUUAGAUGUUUUAAUAGAAAGUAAAUGUUUAACUUGCUUUGCUGUGGCCUCCAAAUCUUUAAUCCGUGGGAAUGUUUUUAAUGAAAGGAAAACCGUGCUUUUGUUUAAAGCAGGGGUUGAUGCUGCAGGCAGUAGUGCUGGUGGGGGGAACUGCAAACUCGCAUCAGGAAUUUUUGGCACUGGUGGAUCCCGGAUUUGGGGAUUAUGGGUUUAGGAAUAUGCUGGGGAGGGUGGCAAGGACCCUGUUUUGGGACAGUCUGUUGCUGGGAUGGGACAUGUAACAAUGCUGUAAAUUCAGUGUCAGUGAUUCCUGCCCCUGAAUUCAGAGCUGUCCCUGUGUUUUGAUGGUGUUACAGGGCUGUUGCUGCUCCAGCAAGGGAGCGCUGAGCAGAGCCAUGUGCAUGCCAAGGAAACUGCAGAACAGCAGCACCGGGUUUUCUGCACACAAAAAGGGGUUUCUGCUCUUCUGAAGCCACUCAGCUUACUUAUGAUUUAAUUUGAUGUAAUUUGUUAAAAAAUGACAUGUGCACAGGACACAUAUGGCUGGCAAAGUACCAUGACAAAGUCAAAACUGAAUGAGGAGUGGAGCACACAGUGAAUAUAGGUAGAAACCACCUAGGAACAAGCACAGGAACCUGUGCCCACUUUGGGGCAGGACCCACAGCUGUUUGCCCCUUCAGUUGCAUUUUCUGCUUCAAAUUAGAAUUGGGACUUUAUUAGCUUAAAAAGUGCAGCAAGUCCUAGAAGAUGGAGAGUGCUGCCAAAGGAUUUACCUGCGUGUCUCCCACCAGCCUGUGCUGCCAGAGGGGAGAUGCUGUUCAGGGCAGCUGAAGGCAGACAGGCACCUACAAGGAAGUGCUUCAUGAACAACAUUUCCCUCAUUGGAAAGCCAACUGCACCGAUAAAGCUUUGGCUGGGUAAAUAAAGUGCUCUGAUUUCCAGGCCUGUAUUGUAAGUUGUCGAGUGGUAAUUGUGUAAGUGCCAGGGUUAUAAAUAGCGGGUGCAGCUGGCAAGCCCCAGCCGUGGCACACCGCGGCACCGGUGCUCCAUAGUGAGAAUUGGGAGGAUUGUUCUCGUUGGGGUUUUGGCUUCUCCCUUCACACUCCAUGCUUUUCCCACCUGGGCUUGCAGGGCCUGGUUCCUGCAGCCAGGCCUGGCUGUCCUUCGUGGGACAGGGGCCAGCUUGGACACAGGAGCAUCCUGCGGCACCUGGAUUUGUACCUGAUCUGUGCAUCAACUGGGCCGUAUGCGGAAAGCAAGAGAAAAACUAUUGGUAAAAUAAUAAAUUGACUUCAAACCAAAACAGUUCAUUAUUGCAGAGUCAGUACACUUAAUAGGCUGAUGCUGCAUCACAGGUGUGUGGAUGCCCGUGGAAAAUGGUGUCAUAUGGAGUUUCCCAGCAGUAUCUGCAGUGAAGGAUUCGCUGUUCUCCACAGGAUGACUGGGGAGCAGUUUGCAUACAUCCAUGGUGAAACAGAGCUGCUCCUUCACUGUGCACUGGAGGGAUGAGUUAGGGUUUUACAGCAUAGUAACCUAAAUGUUUAAUUUUCUCAAUUGUCAUUGUUCUAAUUAAAUUAAUUUGCAGGUUU